RNAcentral lists this unclassified non-coding RNA (286 nucleotides) under plant metagenome. RNAcentral describes it as "partial contains small subunit ribosomal RNA, internal transcribed spacer 1, and 5.8S ribosomal RNA". The stretch from base 1 to 55 matches the Rfam family "Eukaryotic small subunit ribosomal RNA", at positions 1778 to 1831 of the family's 1831-position model. The record is from RNAcentral.
GGAAGUAAAAAGUCGUAACAAGGUUUCCGUAGGUGAACCUGCGGAAGGAUCAUUAUUGUAUAACCGAGGUGCGAGGGCUGUCGCUGGCCCGAAAGGUCGUGCACGCCCGAGUGCCCUCACACACAUCCAUCUCACCCCUAUGUGCACCACCGCGUGGGUCCCCCUUUGGCUUGUUCGGAGGGGGGCUUACGUUUUCACACAAACUUUGUAUGCAGUGUAGAAUGUAUUUUUUGUUUUUGCGAUCACGCAAUCAAUACAACUUUCAACAACGGAUCUCUUGGCUCUC